AUGGGGGCGGCGGCGAGCGGCGCACUAGCGGUGGGGGUCAAGGCCGAGGCAGGAGAGCCAGAGCGCCGUCGGUUCGUGGCGGUGGUGGAGCAGGGAAACGAGGAUCCCGACGAUGGUGGGGUGCAGGGAGGAAGCGCCGCGACGGCUGGGGAAGAAGCGCGGGGCGGCGGGGGAGGAAACGCUGCGCCGGUGAAGGAGGAAGCACGGGGUUGCGGCGGGUUGUGGGUGCAGGAGGCCGGCGGCGGGGCUCGGGAGGAGUCCGGCUCGAAUCGAUGGAGGUUAGAGACGGGUGCGAACAGGGGAAGGUCGUGUGUGGUUUAUUAG
This 324-nucleotide ribosomal RNA is filed under the name Triticum aestivum (bread wheat). Its description in RNAcentral is "partial small subunit ribosomal RNA". The record is from RNAcentral. Lineage: Eukaryota; Viridiplantae; Streptophyta; Magnoliopsida; Poales; Poaceae.